Molecule: ribosomal RNA, 291 nt
Filed under: uncultured microorganism
Description: partial 16S ribosomal RNA
Rfam family: Bacterial small subunit ribosomal RNA
Source: RNAcentral
GUGCCAGCAGCCGCGGUAAUACGUAGGUGGCAAGCGUUGUCCGGAAUUAUUGGGCGUAAAGGGCUCGCAGGCGGUUUCUUAAGUCUGAUGUGAAAGCCCCCGGCUCAACCGGGGAGGGUCAUUGGAAACUGGGGAACUUGAGUGCAGAAGAGGAGAGUGGAAUUCCACGUGUAGCGGUGAAAUGCGUAGAGAUGUGGAGGAACACCAGUGGCGAAGCGACUCUCUGGUCUGUAACUGACACUGAGGAGCGAAAGCGUGGGGAGCGAACAGGAUUAGAUACCGUUGUAGUCC